ACUCCUACUGGAGGCAGCAGUGGGGAAUUUUCCGCAAUGGGCGCAAGCCUGACGGAGCAACGCCGCGUGAGGGAUGAAGGCCUCUGGGCUGUAAACCUCUUUUAUCAAGGAAGAAGAUCUGACGGUACUUGAUGAAUAAGCCACGGCUAAUUCCGUGCCAGCAGCCGCGGUAAUAC
This 176-nucleotide ribosomal RNA is filed under the name uncultured bacterium. RNAcentral's name for it is "partial 16S ribosomal RNA". It matches the Rfam family "Bacterial small subunit ribosomal RNA", at positions 335 to 526 of the family's 1533-position model. The record is from RNAcentral.